AUUUCCAUCAUACAAAUGAGGAAACUAUGGCUCAGAGAAGUUAAGUAACUUGUACAACAUCGCAGAGCUGGAAAGUGGUCAAACGAGGUGAAGAAUCCAAGCCUGUCUGACCUCAGAGCACUUGCUCUUAACCUUCACUCUAUGCUGACCUCCCAUGUGGCCCUUGAGAUAGCAGGACAGGUGUCACAGAGAUGAUCCGGGGGGACCCAGGGUGAGCAUUAUGACACACGGAUAACAUCCAUGGUCAGCUUUGACAAACAAACUGAUGGCAGCAGUGGCCCCAAUGUCAUAUGCAAGAGGACAGCCAAGAGGAUCACUGAGGAGCAGUCGCCUGUAUUUUUUGAAAAUCACUACAGUGUCACCAUUCAGAGGGGGACUGCCUAACAGAUGGAGCCGCCCCAGGCCAGGCCGUAAGAGGAGCCACAGGAGGGGCAGGAGCUCUUCCCUGGGGUCAGAGAGUUGGUUCUCAUUCAAAGCCCGGCUCUGCUGUGACCUGCCCGGGGGGCCUUGGACAAGGUCCUUAACUUUCCAGUCUUCAAAUUCUUCAAGAUAAAAUGCGGGGGGCGGAGGGCGGGGGGCGUUGAAAAAUCCACUGCAAAGAUUGCUGGAAAGAUGACAUUAACCGGGCGGGUGCAUGAGCCGAGGCGGAGCAGGACUCCAACAGCACCCUCGACUUGGGAAAUUUGAGGAAUGGGGACCCUGCACAGGUGAGGAAGGAUGGAGUGAAGCCAUAACAGCGCAGUGUCCCCGAUUAGUACCAGCCCGGGGCCCUUACCACCCCUGGACUGAGGGAGGGUGUGGCUCCCAGAACCCCGAAAUAAAGUGUGGACAGCAGAAUAAUGGCCCCCCACAUCCUAGUCUCCAGAACCUGUGAGUGUGUAAAAAAAAGGGGGCUUUGCAAAUGCAAUGCUGAGGUGGGGAGAUUAUCCUGGAUGAUCUGGGGGGCCCAGUGCAAUCACAAGGUCGUUACAAGAGGGGGGCAGGAGGAUUGAGAAGGCGAGGUGAGCUGGGAAGCAGGGCUUGGGUGCUGCGCAGCCGGGGGUCGAGGAACGCGGGCGGCCUGUGGGAUCUGGGAGAGGCGAGGAGUGGACUCUCCUCCGGAGCCCCCAGAAGGAGCGCAGUCCUGCCGACCCUCGAUUUUAGUCUCAUAAGACUCAUUUCGGGCUUCUGACCUCCAGAACUGUAAGACAGUAAAUUUGUGUUGUUUUAAGGCACAAAUUUGUGUUGAUUUCUUGCAGCAGCCACAGGAAACUAGCACAGUGAGAGCUGGGUCUGAGGGCUGCCGUGACGGGAGGCGUGACCUUCACUCAGUCAGGCAGAAGACGCCCCAGAAAGAAAGCUGAGGGGUCAAAACCCCAGCCUCGCUCUCCUCCAGCCCCCGAUCUCCUGUGGGGGCUGCCACUGGAGGAACCAACCGGAAGCAGAAGGGGCCACUGAUGAGUCCAUACAGAUCAGCAUCUGGGGCGGGGCGCAGGGAGGGAGGGUGGAGGGUAGAUCUGAGGAGACGAGCGGGAGAACCCAGCGCAGCGGGGCGACUGGGAGAGACUCUGUGUUGGCUCACUCUUUCUUCAGCCAGGGCCACGUGUGAGCCCUGACGAGGAGCAGGACGUCUGCCCUGCAGCUGGGAACGGAGCCUCACGCCCACCCUCAGAACAGAAUCCCGGGAAGACAGACCCGGAUCUGGGGCACAGAGGGUGGAAAUCCUUCCAGAGCUUCCUGGGAGGGGGGGGUCCUUCAAGGGUCUCAAACCCACCCUCGGGGCCAGUCUGCAGAGGUGAUCAACCCAGAGGCCACCACCCUUCGUCCUGUCUCAAGCACCAAUCCCAACCCCGCCCUCCCCUCCCUCAUGCCACACCCUUCAAGGAUGAGAUGCUCCUGGACCAGAGAAAAGGGUCCCAGGCAUCGGCAGGGUUGGCUGUCCCUCCUAGCUCGGCUCUGACCCAUUGAUACUGCCCGGUGUCAGAUGUGGGCCUCCUCAGGCCCCGCCCUCAGAAACUAACGCUCACAGGCCAAACUAGCUGAGACGCCUGGCGCUAGUCAAUACGGCAACUGUGCGAAUUAGAGAGAAAGUACCCCUUUCUCCAGGCACUUUCCUGCCACCUACUGGAAACUUGUAGCAACUACACAUAUCUAAUGACCACGAGGUAAACAGGCACCCCCGGGGAAUUGUGCAAUGCACAACAGGCACCACUGCAAGUGGCAGCCUGGCAGCCUUCAUAAAGCUGUCAUCACACGUGCAAUGGUGGUGACAGCAGGUGGCCUUUUUUUGGUUUGUUGUCUGUCUCUCCAGCCCUCACCAAAACUGUCAUCAAUGCCUCCCAGCAAAGGCCACCAGGAGCACACCUCUAGUUGAACACACUGGGCAUGUGACCUGCAGCAAGAGAAGACAGAAGGGAACAUGUGGCUGGAUCACGUUUCUAUGAAGCUCAAGAAUGAGUGAAACUAAUUCGCAGUGUCCAGGGCCAGAACGGGCCGGGGCUGACUCCCCUAUUUCUCAGGCCACGAGGGGGGACAUUUGGUGGCUCACUGCUCCCCCAUUUCGCUGCUUACGUGUCACCACCUGGAGAGAGAUCGCUCUGUCUCUGUCUCCGGGUGUCGCUCUCCUAACUCCUCAAGAAGGAGCCGGCAGGCCUGACUGUGGCCAUGUUCUGCCCCAUGCUGACUAGCUAUGCCAGAGCGUGGAUCUCCUUCCUUGCUUCCUAAGGCGGCUGGGGAGGUGACAACAACGGCAGCCCCAGCUGGGAGCCGGGGUGGCCAGCCUGUCAGCGAGGAGGCAUGCAAACCUCUUAAGAAAUGCAAGAGAAGCACAGAAUGUGGGUGGACGUUUGAAAAGGGGGGAAUCCUAGAAUGCCACCCAAGGAUGAAGAAAAAAUUGGUGAGGCAGAAGGAAAACGUUGUGAGGAAAACAGAGCUGCAAACUGCGAGCAGGCUGGUUAACCACCAGCUAGAAGUCAAGGAAUUUCAUCCCAGCCCUGGUUCUGUCGGUGACUCAUUGUUGUGACCUUGGAUAUGUCCCUUCUCAUCUCUGAGCCUCAGUUUCUCCAUCUGCAAAAUACGGUGUUGGACUAGACAAUUUCUGAGCGUCCUCGCACGUGCAAGAAUUGAGAUGUGUUUUUCAUAAAGAAACUGACUCACGCAGCCAAUAUUUCUGAGCCCCUGGUACAGGCCAGGCAUAUUCUAGCUACAGGGGAUUCAGCAGUGAAUUAAACAGACGAAAUUCUCUGCCCUCCAGAGAUUGUCAAUCUCAGUAAGAGCUGCCAGCCUCAAGAUGCUGAGGAGAGACAAACGCUCCGCCACAUCUUUCAGUGGUGCUUUUAUUGGCGGCAGGAGGUGAGACAAGACCCUUUGUUCAUCCAAUUCUUGCAGAAAUGAGGAUACCUAGGGUAACGGAGCAAUUGUAAUUAGGCCAGGAACUGUGCACACUCGGAGCUCCAGGCACAAGAAUGCGCUUUACCUAAGCUUUCGGUCAAACCCGAGGGGAGGGAUGGGGGGCACGCAGGAGCAGCCCCCCCAGUAGGUGCUCAGAGGGGGUCAAGGCGGCCCCUCUCAUGGGCCAUUCAAUCAGGUGAGAUUCAGGUGAGUCUCCCAUACGAGGCAGGAAGAUGAAAACCAGGCGUCCAGUGGUCAGCUGUCAGAGCUCCCAAACCUGGGCUGCCACAUUGUCCUCAUGCAGAUGGGCGACGUGGGGAGGCCGGAGCUUCCGUACUUUCCACAGAGGAUCUAUUAUCUGGGGGAAACCAGGAGCCAGGCCCAGGUGGGUCCUCACUCCCAGCUCUCUCCACCAAUACCUGCUGCCAGGACCCCAGAGGAGCAAUGGCCUUGCAGGAAGUGAAAAGAAACGCCGGCUCUGCUCUUCUUGUUUCGGGUCAUCCCCACGGCUACCCCUUAGCACUAGCUGUGCUGGUAAAGAGUCCAAGCUUUGGAUCCAAGCCACGUGUGUCAAUUCCAGCUCGGCCACUCGCAGUGUGCGACCCGGGCAAGCUGUGCCCCUGCACUGAGGAUCCUCUGCCGAGUGGCCCUGACACUAUGAAGCAGACCAUGAGGCAGAGAGAAGGCGCUCAGAAAGGGGCGCCACAUCAGUCCCCAGGGCUCCCGCUGGGCCACCAGCAGAGCCGCGCUGCUGAAGGUUGAACUGUCGGCUAAAUGCAUCUGACCGAGGUGACCUGGCCAAGGUGACCUGGCCUCGUGGGCGAGGAGGUGACCUGGCCUGUGACAAGCAGUAACUGAGCAGAUGUUGUCCCCUCUGCCAUGUUGCCCCCCUCGAGAUGCACACCAAACCCUUAGAUGUCACUUCUGGCCGAGGCCUUCUCACGGCAGGCGGUUCUGUGACUGAGGGCGUCCUUGCCUCCCGAGAGAAGGCCACGCCCCAAUGGGGCAGGAAAAUGUUGACGCUAGUCCCCAUUUGUGGCGUCUGGGCCUGAGUGCAAACUCUGACCUUGCCCUGACUAGCUGGGUGACCUGCACGUGUCUCUCAGCCUCUCUCAGCUUUCCUGGCCUCCCUCCCGUCUGGAGGAGACUUGAUACCUGAUCAGCAGGUCUUGGCAGAAAACGCGGACCGCUCAAAGUUGUGGGUGCGGAGAGCGGAACAAAGGUGCCGGCGGGGCGGAGGGAACAAAGGCGGGGAGGGCACUCUGGGACCAGCUGGGGUGUCACCCUUGCCAUGCUCAGGCCUGAAGGGCCCAGGGGGGCACUGCUGCUCUGGGGGCAGGGAUGGCUGUGGCCUGGAAGGGCUGCCUGACUCCAGCUCAAAGAGCACAGCCCCUGCAACACCACAGCCCAGCCAGGAGACGGGGCGGGGAGCACGGCCCAAGCUUCUGUCCUCCCACGCAGACCUCCUGCUGGAGCCACCUGUGGCCAAACCCAGCCAGAGGCUGGAGGGCCAGGGAGCCAGGAUACAUCGGCGUGUUGAGCCUCUCGGGGGCAGAGCAGGCCAGAGAGCAGAUCUGGGGACAAACGGAGACUAACGGGCUGUGGUAUGGCCCCCAGCGAUGCCCACACCCUCAUCUCCAGAUCCUGUGAACAGGUGACCUUCGUGGCAAAUGGGACUUGGCACACGUGAUUAAGUUAAGGAUCUUGAGAUGGGGAGACAAUCCUGGAUCUCCACGUGAGCCCAACAUAUUCACAAUGGUGCUUAGAAAAAGGAGGCCGGAGGGUCACAAACAUGCAGAGGGGAUGUGACGAUGGAACUAGAGGGGCACGCAGAGAGGCUGGAAGACGUCACACUGCUGGCUUUGAAGAUGGAGGAUGGGGCCACAAGCCAAGGGAAGCAAGCGGCCGCUAGAAGCUGGAAAAGGUGAGGAAGCUGAUUCUCGCCUACAGCCUCCAGAAAGAACACAGCCCUGCAGUCCCAUUUCAGGACUUCCGGCCUUCAGAACUGUAACAGGAUAAAUUGGUGCUGUUUUAGCCUAUCCAGGUCGUGGUAACUUGCUACCACAGCAACAGGAAACUAACGCACCUGCAUAAUACCUGUGGGGUCCCUCUGCCCACCCAGCUUCUGCUCCCCUCCGACAUCACUCUCUGGCUCUGGAUCCAUGUCAAGUCCAGCUGGACGGAGGUCAGAAAGGUGGUUCAUACGUGGAAGCGAAUGCCCUGGUAAGCCAGUCGUGAUGCUCAGACAGAGGGAGCAGGCCCGAGGGGGCUGGGAAGCCACAUAAGCCCCUCUCACAUGAACCCCUCUGGCUGCUCCCAAACAUGGGCUACAGACAUGCUCUGGGCUGCUCCCUAACAGAACUUUCAUACUUUCUCCUUUCCUUUCGUUUUAAUACAUCAUACCCACAUACGGACUGUCUGGUGAAGGAUACAGCACCAUGCAGCACAAAAAGCCCCAGCCCCGAAGUCUGGAAACCUGGAUGCGAGUACUGGGUCUACUCCAGCUUUGAAGUGGGGUCUAGAAAGUCACUGCCCUUCUCUGAGCUUCAGUUUCCCCAUCUGUACAAGGGGACAGGACUGAAGUCCUAGUCUACUGGUAUUCCGAUUCCACAAUUCUCAACACCUCCUUCCCUGUCGCCAGCCAGCCGGAGCCUGUAGGAGCAGGGUGGUCAGGGCUCCUGGAGCACCGCCACAUCCGGAACACAGAGCUUUCUCUGGGAGGUCCAGCCAAACCCCCCUCCUGGACCACAAUCUGCUUGUUCUCUGCUGCCCCCUGCUGGCCAAUCAAAAACAAAGGCUUCCAGCAGGAUCCCUUGGAAAUGGUUGAAAGGGACCAGCAGAAGAUGCCCCCUGCAAACUCCUGCAUUCCCCUGCCCAGACCUGGCCAACCGGGACCUCCCUGGAGCUGCUGUCAGGGCUCAGAGGAAGCCAGCGCAGAGACCAGAGGCCUGGAAGGGGAGGCUGCCUGCUGUGGGCCCUGGGGCAGCUCUCCCCAUCCCUGCAUCCCACCUCUUCCGAACUGGUGAGAUGGGGUAUGAGAUGCUGUGGUUUCUGAAAAGUGGUCUGUUGUCCCAUUCUCUGCCUUUGGGUGAUAGUAACAACAGGAUGAGGUGUCCCUGCUCUCUCUCUCUCAAAUUCACACAAGAGAAGCACACACAUAAGAAGCAUGCUGACAAGGCAAAAAUUAACAGGGAGAAGUCCACCGAGACAGCCCCAGGAGGGCUGCCUCCAGAAAGAGAAGAGAGACUGCAGCACUGUGAUGCUGAGGCUGCUUAAACCUGAGGGUAUGUCAAAGGCACAUUAUUCCUUGCGUCCCCAAUAAAGAAGGCAGGCAGUUAGAAACGCUGGGCCAGGUGAGACUGGGGGAAAGCUGACCAAGAAAGCCAGGAACUGAAUGUGGCUUGACUUUAAUCCAUUGGGUGGCAGGGUCAACCUACAGACAAAGCACCGAAGACUUAAUUUUGGCUACAAGCAGAACAAGGUGGGGUGAUGGAAAAGCAAAGAUACAUCAGACCGCGAGGUGGGAGGAAGUGGGAGGUGGAGGGAGGGGUCCCAGCGCUGUCACCAUCGUCCUCCGCGGAGGAGUCGCUGAACCGACGAACGUCAAUGGAAUAGAGACUUCUAGACAAAGUGUGCAAAGUUACAAAAAUAACCAAGCCAAGAACCAAAAAUAUAAGUAGCCAAAAUUGGGAGCAGGAGACGGAAGGGAAGAGGAAGCAUCAAAGCGUUAAAUAAACCUCCGUUUCCCUUGACACGGGGCAAAAACGACGC
Equus caballus (horse) is the source of this 7140-nucleotide long non-coding RNA. The record is from Ensembl. Lineage: Eukaryota; Metazoa; Chordata; Mammalia; Perissodactyla; Equidae.